This 497-nucleotide ribosomal RNA is filed under the name uncultured bacterium. RNAcentral describes it as "partial 16S ribosomal RNA". It matches the Rfam family "Bacterial small subunit ribosomal RNA", at positions 28 to 507 of the family's 1533-position model. The record is from RNAcentral.
GAUGAACGCUGGCGGCGUGCUUAACACAUGCAAGUCGUACGGACAGACGAUGAGCGUGCUCCUCUGGCGGCAGCGGCGGACGUGAGACGAACAUGUCGAUAGCCUACCUAUAAGAUUGGGCUAACUUCGUGAAACCGGUGCUAAUACUGUGUUAUAUAUGCAACGUCGUGGUUGAAAAGUGAAAGAGGGUUUUGCUGUACCUGCGAGAUGUAUCCGCGCUGGUUUAGUUAUUUGGUACGGUAACGGCUUAGCAAGGCAGCGGUGCGUAGCCGACCUGAGAGGGGGUACGGCCACACUGGGACUGAGACACGGUCCAGACUCCUACGGACGGCAGCGGUAGCGAAUCUUGCCAGAUGGGCGAAAGCCUGAAGGAGCAACGCCGCGUGGGUGAUGCAGGUCUUCGGAUCGUAAGACUCUGUUAUUAGGGAAGAACGCAUGUGUAAGUAACUAUGCACGUCUUGACGGUACCUAAUCAAAAAGCCACGGCUAACUACGUG